This 493-nucleotide ribosomal RNA is filed under the name uncultured bacterium. Its description in RNAcentral is "partial 16S ribosomal RNA". It matches the Rfam family "Bacterial small subunit ribosomal RNA", at positions 28 to 507 of the family's 1533-position model. The record is from RNAcentral.
GACGAACGCUGGCGGCGUGCUUAACACAUGCAAGUCGAACGGUGAAGCGCCUUCCUUUUUGGUGGGUGUGGAUGAGUGGCGAACGGGUGAGUAACACGUGAGUAACCUGCCCCCUUCUUCUGGAUACCGCAUGAAGGUGUGGCUAAUACGGGAUAUUCUGGGUCUGUCGCAUGAUGGGUCUGGGAAAGAUAUUGUUUCGGUGGGGGAUGGGCUCGCGGCCUAUCAGCUUGUUGGUGGGGUGAUGGCCUACCAAGGCGGUGACGGGUAGCCGGCCUGAGAGGGUGGACGGUCACACUGGGACUGAGACACGGCCCAGACUCCUACGGGAGGCAGCAGUGGGGAAUAUUGCACAAUGGGCGCAAGCCUGAUGCAGCGACGCCGCGUGAGGGAUGGAGGCCUUCGGGUUGUGAACCUCUUUCGCCAGUGAAGCAGGCCUGCCUCGUUUGUGGGUGGGUUGACGGUAGCUGGAUAAGAAGCGCCGGCUAACUACGUG